This 307-nucleotide unclassified non-coding RNA is filed under the name Hevea brasiliensis (rubber tree). The record is from RNAcentral. Lineage: Eukaryota; Viridiplantae; Streptophyta; Magnoliopsida; Malpighiales; Euphorbiaceae.
GCCACAUCCAAGCUUGUUUAAAUAACCCAAUGUCCUCCAUUACUAAACUAAAUUUACACACCUAACUGAACAGAACUACAACACCCAAACCCCAAAUUACCAAAAAUUGCUAUUGGUACCCAUCCUUUUGAUAUGAGAACAACUCAUUUGACCAAACCUGUGAAAUCACCAUAUCAUGAAUAACAGUCAUUAUCUGCUAAUCUCACUAAAGAACCCCCUUUUGUGUCAUAUAAAACAAAACCCAGAUCAUAAAUUCGUCAAAUCCAAACACCCAAGUAGCAAAAACAAGUAAAGACAAGAUCCAGAA